AUUCCCCAUUCACAAUGGUAGUGAGCUAGUUUGCUAAUUGCAUAAGAAAAGUUUUUGUUAAAGGAGCCACAAGAUUAGGAUUUUGAUAGAUUUGGUGGUUGGAAAGGCAAUUCUUAUGAUCAGAUGAUCAGGGAGCUGACUAUCAAAAAAGAUAAUGAUUGAAAGAGAAGCGGGUGAAGCUUUUUGCUCAGAACAAUGCUAGAUUCCUUUCAAAACAAAAAAUACCUGUUGUUUUUAAGCAUGUGUUAUGGAACAUUGCAAUGGGGGAAAAAAAUACUCUUUCCAUGGGAAUAAGUUAUGAUGGAAUUGUA
This 311-nucleotide unclassified non-coding RNA is filed under the name Hevea brasiliensis (rubber tree). The record is from RNAcentral. Lineage: Eukaryota; Viridiplantae; Streptophyta; Magnoliopsida; Malpighiales; Euphorbiaceae.